RNAcentral lists this ribosomal RNA (207 nucleotides) under uncultured bacterium. RNAcentral describes it as "partial 16S ribosomal RNA". It matches the Rfam family "Bacterial small subunit ribosomal RNA", at positions 328 to 545 of the family's 1533-position model. The record is from RNAcentral.
ACGCUCGACACCUACGGGAGCAGCAGUGGGGAAUAUUGCACAAUGGGGGAAACCCUGAUGCAGCAACGCCGCGUGAAGGAAGAAGUAUUUCGGUAUGUAAACUUCUAUCAGCAGGGAAGAAAAAGAUGACGGUACCUGACUAAGAAGAACCGGCUAAAUACGUGCCANAGCCGCCGGUAAGUACUGAGCGGGCGGUGGCGAAGGACG